AGAGUUUGAUCAUGGCUCAGAUUGAACGCCGGCGGCAUGCCUUACACAUGCAAGUCGAACGGCAGCAUGAUCUAGCUUGCUAGAUUGAUGGCGAGUGGCGAACGGGUGAGUAAUACAUCGGAACGUGCCCUGUAGUGGGGGAUAACUAGUCGAAAGAUUAGCUAAUACCGCAUACGACCUGAGGGUGAAAGUGGGGGACCGCAAGGCCUCAUGCUAUAGGAGCGGCCGAUGUCUGAUUAGCUAGUUGGUGAGGUAAAGGCUCACCAAGGCGACGAUCAGUAGCUGGUCUGAGAGGACGAUCAGCCACACUGGGACUGAGACACGGCCCAGACUCCUACGGGAGGCAGCAGUGGGGAAUUUUGGACAAUGGGCGAAAGCCUGAUCCAGCAAUGGCCGCGUGUGUGAAGAAGGCCUUCGGGUUGUAAAGCACUUUUGUCCGGAAAGAAAUGGCUCUGGUUAAUACCUGGGGUCGAUGACGGUACCGGAAGAAUAAGGACCGGCUAACUACGUGCCAGCAGCCGCGGUAAUACGUAGGGUCCAAGCGUUAAUCGGAAUUACUGGGCGUAAAGCGUGCGCAGGCGGUUGUGCAAGACCGAUGUGAAAUCCCCGAGCUUAACUUGGGAAUUGCAUUGGUGACUGCACGGCUAGAGUGUGUCAGAGGGGGGUAGAAUUCCACGUGUAGCAGUGAGAUGCGUAGAGAUGUGGAGGAAUACCGAUGGCGAAGGCAGCCCCCUGGGAUAACACUGACGCUCAUGCACGAAAGCGUGGGGAGCAAACAGGAUUAGAUACCCUGGUAGUCCACGCC
RNAcentral lists this ribosomal RNA (805 nucleotides) under uncultured bacterium. Its description in RNAcentral is "bacterial SSU rRNA". It matches the Rfam family "Bacterial small subunit ribosomal RNA", at positions 8 to 801 of the family's 1533-position model. The record is from RNAcentral.